UACGUAGGGGGCAAGCGUUAUCCGGAAUUACUGGGUGUAAAGGGAGCGUAGACGGUAAUGUAAGUCUGGAGUGAAAGGCGGGGGCCCAACCCCCGGACUGCUCUGGAAACUAUGUUACUAGAGUGCAGGAGAGGUAAGCGGAAUUCCUAGUGUAGCGGUGAAAUGCGUAGAUAUUAGGAGGAACACCAGUGGCGAAGGCGGCCUGCUGGACAGUAACUGACGUUGAGGCUCGAAAGCGUGGGGAGCAAACAGG
RNAcentral lists this ribosomal RNA (253 nucleotides) under uncultured bacterium. Its description in RNAcentral is "partial 16S ribosomal RNA". It matches the Rfam family "Bacterial small subunit ribosomal RNA", at positions 524 to 776 of the family's 1533-position model. The record is from RNAcentral.